RNAcentral lists this ribosomal RNA (309 nucleotides) under uncultured bacterium. Its description in RNAcentral is "partial 16S ribosomal RNA". It matches the Rfam family "Bacterial small subunit ribosomal RNA", at positions 504 to 808 of the family's 1533-position model. The record is from RNAcentral.
AGAGACAGCAGCAGCCACGGUAAUACGAGGGGUGCAAGCGUUAUUCGGAUUGAUUGGGUGUAAAGGGUGUGCAGACGGCUUAUUAAGUCACUUGUUAAAUUCUUCGGCCUAACUGAAGGUCUGCAAGUGAUACUGAUGAGCUAGAGGGUGGAAGAGAGAAGUGGAAUUCUCGGAGUAGCGGUAAAAUGCGUAGAUCUCGAGAGGAACACCAAUGGCGAAGCAGCUUCUUGGUCCAUUCCUGACGUUCAUACACGAAAGCGUGGGGAGCAAACAGGAUUAGAUACCCCCGUAGUCCCUGUCUCUUAUACA